GAUGAACGCUGGCUACAGGCUUAACACAUGCAAAGUCGAGGGGAAACGACGGGGAAGCUUGCUUCCCCGGGCGUCGACCGGCGCACGGGUGAGUAACGCGUAUCCAACCUGCCUCUGACUGAGGGAUAACCCGUCGAAAGUCGGCCUAAUACCUCACGGCAUCGUCUGCGGGCAUCCAACGACGAUUAAAGAUUUCAUCGGUCAGAGAUGGGGAUGCGUCUGAUUAGCUUGUGGCGGGGUAACGGCCCACCAAGGCGACGAUCAGUAGGGGUUCUGAGAGGAAGGUCCCCCACAUGGAACUGAGACACGGUCCAAACUCCUACGGGAGGCAGCAGUGAGGAAUAUUGGUCAAUGGGCGAGAGCCUGAACCAGCCAAGUAGCGUGCAGGAUGACGGCCCUAUGGGUUGUAAACUGCUUUUAUGCGGGGAUAAAGUGAGGGACGUGUCCGUCAUUGCAGGUACCGCAUGAAUAAGGACCGGCUAAUUCCGUGCCAGCAGCCGCGGUAAUACGGAAGGUCCGGGCGUUAUCCGGAUUUAUUGGGUUUAAAGGGAGCGUAGGCCGUGGAUUAAGCGUGUUGUGAAAUGCAGGUGCUCAACGUCUGCACUGCAGCGCGAACUGGUCCACUUGAGUGUGCGCAACGCAGGCGGAAUUCGUCGUGUAGCGGUGAAAUGCUUAGAUAUGACGAAGAACUCCGAUUGCGAAGGCAGCUUGCGGGAGCACAACUGACGCUGAAGCUCGAAAGUGCGGGUAUCGAACAGG
This 759-nucleotide ribosomal RNA is filed under the name uncultured Prevotella sp. RNAcentral's name for it is "bacterial SSU rRNA". It matches the Rfam family "Bacterial small subunit ribosomal RNA", at positions 28 to 776 of the family's 1533-position model. Lineage: Bacteria; Pseudomonadati; Bacteroidota; Bacteroidia; Bacteroidales; Prevotellaceae. The record is from RNAcentral.